This 305-nucleotide ribosomal RNA is filed under the name uncultured bacterium. RNAcentral's name for it is "bacterial SSU rRNA". It matches the Rfam family "Bacterial small subunit ribosomal RNA", at positions 332 to 654 of the family's 1533-position model. The record is from RNAcentral.
UUGGCCCUACGGGAGGCAGCAGUGGGGGAUAUUGCACAAUGGGGGAAACCCUGAUGCAGCGACGCCGCGUGAGUGAAGAAGUAUUUCGGUACGUAAAGCUCUAUCAGCAGGGAAGAAUAAUGACGGUACCUGACUAAGAAGCCCCGGCUAACUACGUGCCAGCAGCCGCGGUAAUACGUAGGGGGCAAGCGUUAUCCGGAUUUACUGGGUGUAAAGGGAGCGUAGACGGCAAUGCAAGUCUGGAGUGAAAGGCGGGGGCCCAACCCCCGGACUGCUCUGGAAACUGUAUAGCUGGAGUGCAGGAG